GCCCUUAGAGUUUGAUCCUGGCUCAGGACGAACGCUGGCGGCGCGCCUAACACAUGCAAGUCGAACGAGCGAGAGAGAGCUUGCUUUCUCGAGCGAGUGGCGAACGGGUGAGUAACGCGUGAGGAACCUGCCUCAAAGAGGGGGACAACAGUUGGAAACGACUGCUAAUACCGCAUAAGCCCACGGCUCGGCAUCGAGCAGAGGGAAAAGGAGCAAUCCGCUUUGAGAUGGCCUCGCGUCCGAUUAGCUAGUUGGUGAGGUAACGGCCCACCAAGGCGACGAUCGGUAGCCGGACUGAGAGGUUGAACGGCCACAUUGGGACUGAGACACGGCCCAGACUCCUACGGGAGGCAGCAGUGGGGAAUAUUGCACAAUGGGGGAAACCCUGAUGCAGCGACGCCGCGUGGAGGAAGAAGGUCUUCGGAUUGUAAACUCCUGUUGUUGGGGAAGAUAAAGACGGUACCCAACAAGGAAGGACGGCUAUAC
Molecule: ribosomal RNA, 486 nt
Filed under: uncultured bacterium
Lineage: Bacteria
Description: bacterial SSU rRNA
Rfam family: Bacterial small subunit ribosomal RNA
Source: RNAcentral